Molecule: ribosomal RNA, 588 nt
Filed under: uncultured bacterium
Lineage: Bacteria
Description: bacterial SSU rRNA
Rfam family: Bacterial small subunit ribosomal RNA
Source: RNAcentral
UGACGGUACCUGCAAAAGAAGCACCGGCUAACUAUGUGCCAGCAGCCGCGGUAAUACAUAGGGUGCAAGCGUUGUCCGGAAUUAUUGGGCGUAAAGAGCUCGUAGGUCGUUUGCCACGUCGGGUGUGAAAACCUGAGGCUCAACCUCAGGCCUGCAUUCGAUACGAGCAAACUAGAGUUUGGUAGGGGAGACUGGAAUUCCUGGUGUAGCGGUGGAAUGCGCAGAUAUCAGGAGGAGCACCAACGGCGAAGGCAGGUCUCUGGGCCAAUACUGACACUGAGGAGCGAAAGUCUGGGGAGCGAACAGGAUUAGAUACCCUGGUAGUCCAGACCGUAAACGGUGGGCACUAGUUGUGGGAACCUUCCACGGUUUCUGCGACGCAGCUAACGCAUUAAGUGCCCCGCCUGGGGAGUACGAUCGCAAGAUUAAAACUCAAAGGAAUUGACGGGGCCCCGCACAAGCAGCGGAGCAUGCGGCUCAAUUCGACGCAACGCGAAGAACCUUACCAAGGCUUGACAUAUAGGGAAAAGUGGCAGAGAUGCCAUGUCCGCAAGGGCUCUAUACAGGUGGUGCAUGGUUGUCGUCAGC